This 515-nucleotide long non-coding RNA is filed under the name Papio anubis (olive baboon). RNAcentral describes it as "lncRNA (ENSPANG00000047503.1)". Lineage: Eukaryota; Metazoa; Chordata; Mammalia; Primates; Cercopithecidae. The record is from RNAcentral.
GACAAGGGUUUCAGGAACACACUUAAAAUCAUUAAAUGAGACAUAGACUUUACCCUGAUUCCUAUGAUCACCUCAGUAAAGAAAAGUGUUCACAGCAAGAAUAAGGUAACCCCUGCUGCAGCCAUUUCAAAAUAUGUCAAAGAAAUAAGAGAUGAAGAUAAAGAAGAAGGAAAUGAAUCCAGCAAAUUUGAGAAUGAAUGGCCCAGCCAGAUCUAAGAUACAUGCCAGAGGCCGGGCUCAGUGGCUGAUGCCUGUAAUCCCAGCACUUUGGGAGGCCAAGGUAGGCGAAUAAUGAGGUCAGGAGUUCAAGACCAGCCUGGCCAACAUGGUGAAACCCCAUCUCUACGAAAAAUACAAAAAUUAGCUGGGCAUGGUGGCAUGCGCCUGUAAUGCCAGCUGCUCGGGAGGCUGAGGCAGGAGAAUUGCUUGAAUUCAGGAGACAGGGGUUACAGUGAGCUGAGAUCACGCCACUGCACUCCAGCCUGGGUGACAGAGCAAGACUCCGUCUUGGGGGG